This 424-nucleotide ribosomal RNA is filed under the name uncultured prokaryote. Its description in RNAcentral is "bacterial SSU rRNA". It matches the Rfam family "Bacterial small subunit ribosomal RNA", at positions 355 to 796 of the family's 1533-position model. The record is from RNAcentral.
UGGGGAAUCUUAGACAAUGGGGGCAACCCUGAUCUAGCCAUGCCGCGUGAGUGACGAAGGUCUUAGGAUCGUAAAGCUCUUUCGCCGGGGAAGAUAAUGACGGUAACAGGUAAAGAAGCCCCGGCUAACUACGUGCCAGCAGCCGCGGUAAUACGAAGGGGGCUAGCGUUGUUCGGAAUUACUGGGCGUAAAGCGCGCGUAGGCGGGCUAUUAAGUCAGGGGUGAAAUCCCGGGGCUCAACCUCGGAAUUGCCUCUGAUACUGGUAGUCUAGAGUCCGUGAGAGGUGAGUGGAACUCCGAGUGUAGAGGUGAAAUUCGUAGAUAUUCGGAAGAACACCAGUGGCGAAGGCGGCUCACUGGCACGGUACUGACGCUGAGGUGCGAAAGCGUGGGGAGCAAACAGGAUUAGAUACCCGGGUAGUCC